AAGANAGGAAUCGAACCUAUAACUAGAAGAUCAAA
This 35-nucleotide transfer RNA is filed under the name Scinax perpusillus (Bandeirantes snouted treefrog). RNAcentral's name for it is "partial tRNA-Gln". The record is from RNAcentral. Lineage: Eukaryota; Metazoa; Chordata; Amphibia; Anura; Hylidae.